Long non-coding RNA from Anolis carolinensis (green anole), 3394 nucleotides. RefSeq lists it as uncharacterized. The transcript is spliced from 2 exons. The record is from RefSeq and is a predicted model, not a curated record. NCBI's taxonomy places the organism in Eukaryota, Metazoa, Chordata, Lepidosauria, Squamata, Anolidae.
UGUUGCGGAAAGGAUUGUUGAUAAAGCUUCAGUGGAGACAACUUUACCCCAUGAUAAUAACUCUUCCAGGAGUGAACUUUUCUUCCAAAAGACACCGAGGCAUUUAACAUCUUUCCAGCUUCUUUCCAGCUUCACGCUUCCGGCCACAGGGGGAGUUGUUGCUUCACCGUCCACUGGGGCUGUUCUUCCUCAUUCUUUUCCUCACGUUUUGCUGGCAGUUUUAUGGUGUUGUAAAUUAGUUAAAUUAGCCUCCCGCAUAAAGCGUCCCUAAAUUUUCCCUACUUGACAGAUGCAACUGUCUUCCGGGGCUGUAUAGGUCAACAGCAAGCCAGGGCUAUUAAUGGUCGGCGGCUUAACCUGACCCGGGCUUCGAACUCAUGACCUCUCGGUCAAUAGUGAUUUAUAGCAGCUGGUUACUAGCCAGCUACUAUUUACAGCUACUCAGUGGAGUUAAAGUUACCUUGAUUUAACAACUUUGCUGGAUACCUUUGCAUUUGCUUUGCAGCUUGGUCUUGGGGAGAAGGGUGGGGUAGAAAUAUCGGAAACAAAUAAAUAAAUCUCAGAUCCAGCUAGAGGAGUUAACUUUUCCUCUGUUACUAAUCUGAUUGCACAGAUGUCAUUGCUGCUUCAAUUGGUCACACUGGUACUUUGAUUUUAAUUGAUUCAAAACUAUGUAAUUCCAGAGAGUCAAUCUUCUAUUUGUCUUGACCUGGGAGAGAUCACAUCCUGAUGUAGGUGCAGUAUAGGUCCGAUGGUAGGCAUUUUAUUCGAUUCUAAGUUUGGGUAGGAUUUGUGGGAGGACCCAAUUUGACCCUUGGCUACGAGAGUGCUGGACUCUUGAGUGCUUCUCUGCUGUGUUCCAUCUGCUGCACCUUUUGCUGUCAAUAUAAUGUUUUAUGCUCUAGCAAUAUUAUAUGUGCAUGUUUAGUGCUAGAACAGUUGGCAAGACCAGAAACUACAGCCAUUUCCAAAGCAAGACACAUGUUGAAUACAUUUCCUCUUUAAAUUGUUUUGUUUUGGAUAUGAGUUAUUGGCUGUAUUAUUUAAUAGACAGCAAGAUGUCUCCUAUAAACUUUUUUUACAUGGGUGAUACUUCCAUGUCCUUAUAUCCCAGGAUCUGAUCCCAGAUUAUCUUCUUAUCCCAAAUUAUAUGGCAGUGGAGACUCAUAUACAGUGUCCCCUCACUACUUCGCGGUUCACUUUUCGCGGAUUCACUAUUUUACGGUUUUUCAAUAAACUCUAAAAGACUAUUAUAAAUAAUAAAAAAAUUACAAUUUACAGCAUAAGGAAGUGAGGAAGGAGAAGCCAAAGGGAGAGAAAAGGAGCCCAAGUGGCAACAGGAGGAGGAGGAGGAGAUUUAUCAACACACGAUUGGUUGAUACAGACUUAAAAUAGUGUAUAACUGCUAAAAUAAUGUAUAAAUAUUAAAAUAAAUAUAGCGUCCCUACUUUGCGGAUUUUCAUUUAUUGCAGAUGAUCCUGGAACCUAACCCACGCGAUAAGUGAGGGAACACUGUAGUCCAGUUCAAAGCAGAUAACCUGGGAUCAGAUCCUGGGAUAUAAGGACAGUAUAGAAGAGCCCAUAUGGAUAAUAAUAUAAUUAAAUGGCCUUUUGGCUCAAAAUGCAUUCUCUUGCAUGUACAGACCUUUCCCUCCAAAAGGAAGGGUCAAGCGGUUUUCAAAAAACUUCAUUUUGCUGGACUAUUUUUAAUUAGUAGUUCUGCCAAAAUGGAGCCAGGAUGUGCUGAAACACGGAAACAGGGAUGUCCAGGGACGAUGGAAAGAUAAACAGCCCUUUACGUGAUGCAUCUCAAACAGGAAAUCUGGAUUAAAUUAAAUUUUAAUUAAAAUUAACAAAGCCAAUGCAGUGUAAGAUGCUAAAGGAAACUAUGAAGUUAUUGGAUUGUUUGUGCUUACAUACUUAUACAUUUAAAUGCACCUGCAUAUUUGAUGUCUCAAGGAGAAUGUUCAAACUUAUUCAAAUGGAAUGUUAUGCUCUUCCAAGAGUUGGCAUAUAACACCAUUAGAACCAAAAGAAACUUUUUUGCAUGACUAAAUUGUUCAUAUAAUCAGUGCAGUCAGUUUGCAGUAAAUCAAAUAGCUUCUAAGCCUUUUGGAUUAAGUGCAGUCAAACAGAGAAUUUGUGUGAAUGAUUUCAGAAGUAAACCUGAAGUUAUCUGAAAAUGUAUAUUUUUCUCCUCACUGGAAGAUGCCUCCGAGGUUGCUGUGCCUUCCUUCCAGGCCCAAGAUAACAGUAGCAGAUAGGACCAUAGAGGUGGCAGUUCAGAGCCCCAAUGCCACUAAAAACACAAUGUCUAUCUGACAAAAGUAAAUAUAAUACAUUCAUUUGCAGUUUUGAUUUUUGUGGAUUUGAUUAUUCAGAGAUUUGAUUUAAAUGUUCUCUGUAGGAAUCCCUCCAGUGUGACUCUAUGGACAACUUCUUCUGGUCAUGCUGGAAGACCUAGAGAUUUCUAGAGAGAACACCUCUAUAGGAAUGUCUAGGUUUCUCCAGUGCGAUUCUGUGGUCAACAUUCAGUGACGUCGACCAUAGAGUCAUGCUAUUUAUCGUGUCAGAAGCAAAUCGAGGGUACAAGUUGUAAUGUAUUUGAAAACACAAAGUUUUUUAAAAAACAACUUAAAUAGAGUCAUGCUGAAAGAGCUAGAAAUACCUAGAGGUAAAAGAAAGAAAAUUCUUUAUUCUUAGUUUUUCACUUUCACAGGAGUCUUGUGCCCCUAACUCCUACUUAUGGAGUGUAGUUCUGACUGUACGACAUCCUGUGGCUCCACAGAUUGGGCAUCCUCCUCCAAAGUAGUCAUCCAUCAUUGAAAUGCAAGUGUAUAUGAAGGAAAUGCUAAAGCAUGAUUCCUAAUAGUCCUCCAAGCAUUUUGGAUUUCAGCUCCCAGAAGCCUCGGCUGCUUCGGGUUUCUGAAGUCCAAAAUAUGUGAAAGACCAGAGUUUGAGAAAACUGUGUUAAAGGAUUAUGAACAAUGGCUUUUGUACCCAGGCCUAUCCCUCCUAUGCACAAUUACGACACUUGUCCAUUUGUAACACUUCUCUCAUUGCAGAAUUUUAACAUUCAGUUAAGAAAAACACAACCAGACACAACCUGCAACCAUAACAAAAUAAGUCUCUUUAUAGAAAGUUACUUUCAGGUAGAGGUAAUCAUAUAAAGAACAAAGAGGUCUUACUUGGAUUUAUGGAGACAUUUGGGAGUUACUUAGCCACAAAGCCUAUUUUUACAAAAUGUGAUGUAUCCCACAAGGACUCCCCAAGAAAUAUUGUAUUGCUAUUGUACUUCAAAAUAAAACAUGAUUUUGCUAGUUGGAAUAUUAUAUAUAUAUAUAUAUAUCCAUCAUGAAUAUUAAAGUCCCAAAUGUGUAAAAAAAUUACCUUA